This 207-nucleotide microRNA precursor is filed under the name Oryza brachyantha (malo sina). RNAcentral's name for it is "MIR812 microRNA precursor family". It matches the Rfam family "MIR812 microRNA precursor family". Lineage: Eukaryota; Viridiplantae; Streptophyta; Magnoliopsida; Poales; Poaceae. The record is from Rfam by way of RNAcentral.
AAUAACAUUAUUUUUUAGUUUUUAGAUAUAAUGUUUUGAUUCUUCGUCUUAUUUAAUUUUUUUGCGAUUAAUAUUUUUAUUAUUAUUAGAUGAUAAAAUAUGAAUAGUAUUUUAUGUGUGACUAAUUUUUUAAAGUUUUUUUACAUAUUUUUCAAAUAAGACAAAUGAUCAAAGUAUUAGGCAUAAAAAUCGAAAAAUGACGUUAUC